Xiphophorus maculatus (southern platyfish) is the source of this 3374-nucleotide long non-coding RNA. RefSeq lists it as uncharacterized. The transcript is spliced from 3 exons. The record is from RefSeq and is a predicted model, not a curated record. Lineage: Eukaryota; Metazoa; Chordata; Actinopteri; Cyprinodontiformes; Poeciliidae.
AAAGCAGCAGCAGCAGCUCAGCGUAAAGUGCAUUAAAAGCGAGGUAAUUAGUGUGCAGAGUAGACCGCAAACGGCUAAUUGCGCUGCUCGUGCUCGCCUCCACCUAUCGCAACCUCCAGACUGCUCCUAAUAACACCCACCUCCACACGCGGCGUGGGGCUCGUGUCCGAACACGGAGCUCCAAAACAGUAAUUGUCAGCCGGGAAGAGGGGGGGGGAAGAGACACAAAAACAAGUCUGGUAGCUAGCAUAGCAGCCCAAACGGUUCGGACUGCUCACGAGGCGCUGCGCCAGCCGAAGCUCAUUUACAUACGCACUGAUUCACUGCAGGGCAGCCAUGUCCAGGCCUGAUGAGGACGUGCCGGAUCCCGUGCGUUAGGAAUGGAGGCUCGGUUACGGGAUCACGCAAAGGCUCCCUGAGGCUUAGCAGGAGUUGCCGACGCAGACAAAGUCAGAGAAUCUGCGGCCUCUGAGGUCGACAGUAAAAGCUGCGUGUGAGAGUUUGUCCCCAGAAACUGCUGGUGCUGCAGCAUUUCUCUGAACCGUCACCCAUCUACAAUGGAGUGACACCAGGAAGCGGAGCAGACACCCAGGAUGAGACUCAACACAGACUAGAAACAAACGCUGACAGGCGAAUGUGGAAAGCAAACAUGAUUAUUCCCACACAGACUAUUUUUUAUGAUAAAAAUGACAGCAGCUGUUUUCCAGUAUGCUGGCACUUAAAUGAAACUUAAGUAAAAGAGGAUUCCUGCUUGGGUUGAUGAUUUAUAUACAACAAAAUCGAAACAGAUUACGAGCUCUUCGGAGGCCGCCCUGGCUGUACUCCGGGGACGCUAUUUUUUUUUUUUUAACUUUUUGUUUUGUUUUGAGAAAAAGCCAAAAAUGUUUGGACCAUGUGGCAGAUGAAGAGGCAAAAGCAAACACGCACUUCUGAGCCGGGCGGCUGCGGCUGUCUGACUGAGCCAAACCGCAGCUGAGGAGACCCACUCGAAGAAACGAUCUGAUGCAGUUUGGCAAGAAGGCGAGCGCAUCGAGUUCAAAAUGCGCCAGAGACUUUGUUGGGAGAGGAGGAUUUCGAGCAGCGCCACUUCAAGACUCUAAAAAGAAAAUGUCAGCGGUCCUAAAUCUCCAGAGACACAUAGAUGCACCCUCAACCCCGCAUUUCUCUUACAGUAAAAGUCUUCCUGCGCUACAGGCGCUCUGACUUCCAACAUCAUUAAGAACUCAUUCUACUGUCAUUACCAUGGUUGUAAACUAUCUGCUAUAAACUAAAGAAGAGGCAAAAUAGGGGGGCAGAACAAUGCAAAAGUAUCAAAAAUGGCAUUGACCUCUGAGCCUAGAAUCAAUGGAUCCUACUUUUGAUUGACUAGAAGCCAUCCAGAUUGCCCCAAAGUCAGGAACAUGACUCAGAAGUCCUGCAGGCUGCUUCAGAUUCACCGAACCAAUAGUAAGGGGGAGGAGCUGGUUGAGGAAAUCUCAGAUUCCACUCGCAUGUUUUGGUGAAACAUGCGAGUGGAUGAGGCCCGUAAGAUCUUAACAUCCCUCAGGUUGGGAGGCUGCGUAUCAUUUUCAGUCAAUGUUUAGUUAUGAGUUUGAGAAGAAACCUCGCUGCUUGCCUGAGAUGUUGCCUUGCUAAUAGCGCAGGUUUGACUGCCAGGAUUCAUCCGAAUCUCUGUUGAGACAUCUGGCAAAGACGGAAGAGUUCAGACGUUUCAGCGAGAUAUGGCAAACAGAACAGGUUUGGAGCUCUUUCGGAGUUGCUGUGCCUCAGGCCCGGGCGUGGGUGCAAUCCUUUUCCUUCCAACUAUUUCCACGUGUGCCAUCGGCUUCAUCUCUUUUCAUCCUCCUUUGCCUGUGGAGUAAAUCUUACAGGCAUCCAGUCACAUUUACAGUGCCUCUGCCUCGGCACAGUUUUUGCUUUGUUAUCGCACUCAAAUGUUCCAGGUCUUAAAGGAACAAAGGGCCAGAAGUCAUCAUAGUUUUCAAAUAAUGACUUCAUUUGUGAAGGAAUAAUAGCUGUCCAUGCCCACACCUAGUCCUGUCUGAAAAUAUAAUUGCUGUCCUUGUUGAAUCUCAUUUUUUGGCUCAAUUACACUGUCCACACCCAGGCCUGAUUACUUACCAAAACUGUAGAAUGAAGAAACCACUUCAACAAAACCUGAAUGUUUUGUUGAACCGCUUGAAUGUUUUGAACCUGAACCGCUGAAUGUUUUACCUAUUAAAGUAUGUUCUACCAUUAGAAAGAGCUCCACCUAUCUCGCCUUAACCUCCUGCGGUGCUAGCAUGACUGCAGAUGUUAUGGCCGGACAGUGGAGGGGUGUCCCGUCAGACCGUCAGUUCCCGAAACCACACACACACACAAAAAAAACUCAGAAAAGCGCACACGGGGUCAGUGCAAUCCCCUCCCCUUGGACCGCACAUGGAAUAAAAAGCUUGUGGGCCCAACUCUUCAGACUGCGGGAGGGGUUCAAAGGGCAACUCAAAGCGUGGUUGGUUGGUAAGUAAUCAUCAUUGAACCAUAGCUACCUUUUCUGGAAACUUUGUGUUUCAGUUACUAUAUUCAUGACAGAUGUAGGUUUUAUUUAUUUCUACUGUAUUUCUAUUUUUAUUCUCGAAAUGGUAUUAAUGUCAUUUUCUAGCUUGUGUUUGUUUAAUGGCACUACAGAUGGAAAUUAACAUUUCACUAAAUCCAGUCUUUUUACGACAACAUUGUACGUUCAUUUAUAUGCACUGUCCUGUUCAAAUAAACCCACUUAAAUAGAAUCAGACCGACACCGUGACUAAGGCUAAAAUACCUCAAAAUAAGGAAAAGCGACAGUCACCCACAUUUAUCGGACUGGAAAAGGUAACGUCAUUUCAAAGACUUUGUGACUCCAACAAACGACAGUGACAGCCAUUAUCCAGAACUGGAGGAAACGCGAAACAGCUGAGAACCUUCUCAGGAGGCUACAAAAUAGCUCCAGGAGCACAUCGGUGACUCAACCAGGAGGCCGUAAAGGAAGCCGGAACAACAUCUAAAGCACUGCUGGCCUCACUUGCUCUAGUUUAGAUCAGUGUUCAUGAUUCAACAAUUGGAAAGAGAGACUGGGCAAACAUGGCAUCAAUGGGGAAAGUGGCAGGGCAAAACAACACUGAUGACCCAAAAGAACCCAAAGGCCGUCCGUCCACCAAAAAUACAAAGACAUGGUGAGACAUGGUGGUAGUAGAGUGAUGGCUUGGGGUACAUGGUGCGCUAUGAUACAAAUGCAUGCCGUAUUACACAAGAAAAUGUGAAAAAUAUUAAUGUUUCUCCUUUUUACUUCACAAUCAUGCACUGCUAUGCGUCUAUUUGACAAAAUUCCCAAAAAGAACAACAUUGAGGUUUGUGGUUGUAAC